UAAAAAUAGCAAAAUUAUUAUACAGGAGAGCGUGUGAGUUCUACUCGCGUUUCUCUCCUCUCUCCUCCUAUUUUUUGAUCGUAAUCUCAUGCACCGUGUAAGGGAUUUCCUCCGACGAUUCUGGCGUCGAUGAGGAACCCAUGGUCUAUAGCGCGUCAUCCGUAGUCCGUUGUACCUUACCGGCGAAAUCUCCAGAUCGAAAUCAAGAGAGUUCGUGGCAGGGAAAAGCUUAUGUGGGACGCUACCGGUAAGAGCUCUAUCGGCAGUGUGGCGACGUGGAGUGAAGAAUGAGGUUUUCGACGGGGAAUGAGAAAAGUCGGCGGUUAGUUCUUGACAAUUGGAGACGCAUGAGGUUCUGUUACGGCCCGUGUUUUGAUGGGGAGGCAGAGCCGGUCCGGAGGGCAAGCAAGUGAAGCCAUCGCUUAGGGUCUCACAUUAUAAAAUUUUUUUUUUGGGAGAAUUUUUUUUUUUACAUUAACAAAAAGGCCUAAAUUUUUAGUUAUGCGUAGGGUAUCAAAGAAAAUUUUGAAACUUUGGACCGGCCCUGUGGGAAGGUCUACGGCCGGUAAGGCAAAGCUAUGCAACCGUCGAUGGUUGUCUUCUUCUACUCCCUACUACUUUAUCUCUCUCACGACUGAACUGUAGUUUUUCGAUGGUACGGUUUUGAUCGGUUCUUCUUCUUUCUCUUCAUAGCUCUAUGGUUGCGGGAUGGCGAUGGUCCAGUGUCUUCUACGUUCGACUCCCAUCUUCCUGGCUCACCGGUGGUCCUGUUUCGGCGAGUAUCCGCUGAUUCGUGGGAAGGCGGCUCGAACGGUUUUCCGAUAGAAGAUUAGGGUUUAUGUGUUCUUGGUUUAAAUCGGUUAUCUGCUAAGUUAGAUUGGUUUUAUUUUCGGAUCGGUUUUGGUUUGGUUUCCUGGUUUGGAUGGUGUAAUUGGAUUGGAUCCUAAG
This 948-nucleotide long non-coding RNA is filed under the name Arabidopsis lyrata. RNAcentral's name for it is "long non-coding RNA (ALYR_LNC001726)". The record is from RNAcentral. Lineage: Eukaryota; Viridiplantae; Streptophyta; Magnoliopsida; Brassicales; Brassicaceae.